Molecule: ribosomal RNA, 392 nt
Filed under: uncultured bacterium
Lineage: Bacteria
Description: bacterial SSU rRNA
Rfam family: Bacterial small subunit ribosomal RNA
Source: RNAcentral
AUUGAACGCUGGCGGCAUGCCUUACACAUGCAAGUCGAACGGCAGCGGACCUUCGGGUGCCGGCGAGUGGCGAACGGGUGAGUAAUAUAUCGGAACGUACCUUUCAGUGGGGGAGUAACGUAGCGAAAGUUACGCUAAUACCGCAUAUUCUGUGAGCAGGAAAGCAGGGGAUCGCAAGACCUUGCGCUGAUUGAGCGGCCGAUAUCAGAUUAGCUAGUUGGUGAGGUAAAGGCUCACCAAGGCGACGAUCUGUAGCGGGUCUGAGAGGAUGAUCCGCCACACUGGAACUGAGACACGGUCCAGACUCCUACGGGAGGCAGCAGUGGGGAAUUUUGGACAAUGGGCGCAAGCCUGAUCCAGCCAUGCCGCGUGAGUGAAGAAGGCCUGGUUGU